RNAcentral lists this ribosomal RNA (253 nucleotides) under uncultured bacterium. Its description in RNAcentral is "partial 16S ribosomal RNA". It matches the Rfam family "Bacterial small subunit ribosomal RNA", at positions 524 to 776 of the family's 1533-position model. The record is from RNAcentral.
UACGGGGGGGGCAAGCGUUGUUCGGAAUUACUGGGCGUAAAGGGCUCGUAGGCGGCCAACUAAGUCAUACGUGAAAUCCCUCGGCUUAACCGGGGAACUGCGUCUGAUACUGGAUGGCUUGAGUUCGGGAGAGGGAUGCGGAAUUCCAGGUGUAGCGGUGAAAUGCGCAGAUAUCAGGAGGAACACCGGUGGCGAAGGCGGGUCUCUGGGCCGAAACUGACGCUGAGGAGCGAAAGCGUGGGGAGCAAACAGG